Molecule: ribosomal RNA, 538 nt
Filed under: Clostridioides difficile
Lineage: Bacteria; Bacillati; Bacillota; Clostridia; Peptostreptococcales; Peptostreptococcaceae
Description: bacterial SSU rRNA
Rfam family: Bacterial small subunit ribosomal RNA
Source: RNAcentral
ACGGCUUACCAAGGCGACGAUCAGUAGCCGACCUGAGAGGGUGAUCGGCCACAUUGGAACUGAGACACGGUCCAAACUCCUACGGGAGGCAGCAGUGGGGAAUAUUGCACAAUGGGCGAAAGCCUGAUGCAGCAACGCCGCGUGAGUGAUGAAGGCCUUCGGGUCGUAAAACUCUGUCCUCAAGGAAGAUAAUGACGGUACUUGAGGAGGAAGCCCCGGCUAACUACGUGCCAGCAGCCGCGGUAAUACGUAGGGGGCUAGCGUUAUCCGGAUUUACUGGGCGUAAAGGGUGCGUAGGCGGUCUUUCAAGUCAGGAGUGAAAGGCUACGGCUCAACCGUAGUAAGCUCUUGAAACUGGGAGACUUGAGUGCAGGAGAGGAGAGUGGAAUUCCUAGUGUAGCGGUGAAAUGCGUAGAUAUUAGGAGGAACACCAGUUGCGAAGGCGGCUCUCUGGACUGUAACUGACGCUGAGGCACGAAAGCGUGGGGAGCAAACAGGAUUAGAUACCCUGGUAGUCCACGCUGUAAACGAUGAGUAC